RNAcentral lists this long non-coding RNA (5242 nucleotides) under Panax ginseng (ginseng). Its description in RNAcentral is "long non-coding RNA (PGIN_LNC008510)". The record is from RNAcentral. Lineage: Eukaryota; Viridiplantae; Streptophyta; Magnoliopsida; Apiales; Araliaceae.
CCAUCUUCAUCGCCCCUCACUAUCCGGCGAAGCUCUUCCACCGUUUGGCCUUCCCCUUUCUUUCUUCCCUUUCCUGGCAACUGUUCUCUCCCACCAUCUCUGUCCUCUUUCCUGGCCACUGUUCUUUCUGGUUCUCCCCAGGUAUGCUUUCAAUCAGUAAAUUAAUUAAAUUUAUUCCUUAUUAGGCUUUAAUUUAUAAGUUCCAAUGUUGUUAGGUUAGGGUUUAAUUUAUGUUUUAUCUUAUUUGUGUUUAUAUUCAGGAAUAAUUUAUUCUUUUUGAAUGUUUAUUCGAGAAUAAUCCUACAUAGGUAUUUGGAUGGUAUCUAUUAUGUCGAUUUUAGUUUGUUCUUGUGGUCUUUACAGUUAUGGAUACAGUAAUUUCUUGAGCCCUAGCUUUUGUAUACUUGAAUUUCUUUUUAGACAUAGUAUGCAUUUCUAAGUGAAUUUAAUCCUAGCUAGCUAGCUAGUCAUGUAAGCCAACCGGUACAUACAAGACUGAGCUGAUAGAUUAUCGGGCUUUAUUUGAUGAUGGUCACAACUUGGUUGGUAAAAUACUCCCUUAGUCAUCAAAGUGGAAUACUACUACUACUUCCUCUGUUUCAAAUUAGAAGAGUAUUUUCUUGUACUGUUGCAUAUCAUUGCUUGGUGUAAUUUUUUGACACAACCAUUGAAGAGAACCUUAUAUUUUACCAUAUUGACAGUGAGAAUGCACUUAGAAUAUUACAUGAUUUGUCUAGCAAACUUGAGGAAAACUAAAAGAAAAUAUAGUAAGUAUCUUGUGACAACUGAAAACCGCACCUUCAAAUCAUGAUAGAAACUCUCGCAUUCGCACAGGCCUUUUAACCGCAUUAGUGAAACCCUGCAUAAAAUGUUAUGAAUGAUCAAAGUUUUUCAUGUUCACAGCUACAUACAUACAUCCUAGAUGUGCCAUAAUCCAUCCUAUGCAAUCUUUAUUUAUUAUUUUGGAUAAGUACAGUACAUAGGCCUGUGAAUUAUGCGUCGAAAUGGCAAGUACUGCUUGAUGCCUAAAAACUAACUAUAUGAUGCAUAUAAUGUUGUUAUUUGCAUCUGUUAUCUUUUGUUUCGCGUACCUCAUUAAAUUUAAAAAGUAAAGGACGUGAGUCUCUCUCCAUUGUCGCUGGAAUUUGUACAACAACAGUGUCUGUACUUUGAGAACCAUUGCUGCUCACCUUUCUAAACCUGGUUUAACGUAAUCAUCAUGAGCUAAAAGCAAUGACUUAUAAAAAAAAUAUUUAAAACAACACUUGACAAAUUGUACUACACAAACAUUAUUCAUCAAGUAAUUAUAGUCAUCGAGAAUAUCUUGAUUCUUGCAUAUUUAAUUAAGAAUUAAUCCUGAUUAUACCUUUUAAAGAAAUUGUAGGACCCUCUAGAAGGCUUCUUUGUAUCUCCAAUAGAUCUUAGCUUCACUUCAUCUGUCGUUUUUUUACAAGAUGCUGAGGUCGAUGAGUAGCUGUCAUUUCACAUUGCCUCCUAGGGGUCGACGGAUUUAUCAUCUUUGGUUUCAAGGCUUAGUUUAAUAGCUUAGCUAUAAAGAUGUUGUGGUAAUUUAUCAAAUAAACAAGUAUAUAGAAUCUGUAACAAAUCCACAAUCUAAUAUAAUUAAAUUGAUAGUAUAUAGGAUAAAAUUUUAAAGGUAAAGGCUUUGAGGAGGCUAUUUUGACAUGAUGUUAAGGCAUGUUAGUUAUAAUACAUUAAUUUAUAUGAAUAAAUCUAUAACAUAUCAACAUAUUGUUUUUGACAUAUAAUACAUUAGUUUAUAAAUCAAUAAAUAGAAAAUUUUAGUGUUAUUUCAUAUUUGAUUGUCAUGGUCCAACAUAUUAUUUUUAACAUAUAAGCAUAAAAAGGCUGAAUAGUGAAUCUUUGACAAUAUCGAACAAAACUUAUCUAAAAAAUAAAUUUUGAACUGCGAAUAUGUAAUAGAUCACAGAAUGACUUGAUACUAGAUAAAGAAUUUAAUUUCAUGGAAUAUUCCCUAAUAGUUUACUCAAAUAUUCCCUAAUUUUUAGAUUUAUUUGGUCAAGUCAAUAAAGCUUCUCAACCCAUUUGAGAAGAUUGUUCCAGUUUGGAACUUUAUCAAACAAGUACAUGGUUGCCUCCGCUCUAUGAUAACUAAAAUGAUAAGACCGUCAUCAUUUAAAUGGAUAAUUUAUAAUCAAAAUGAUAACUAGUGGGUUCAAGAUCAUAUAUUGAAAUGAAUAUUACAGUUACUAAAGAAUUAUUAGAUUGUUUAAAAAUACAAAAAAUGUUAAAAUGCAGAUCUCAUCUUCUUUGGAUACAAGUUUCCUAGCAAUUUAGAUAUAACUAUCUCCAUCAUUUAAUUGAUCAAUAAGGUUCCUACACCUAAAAGGUAUAUACCUUAGUUGAACUCAAACAUUGAAAGUAACUACAGGCCUAGAAUAAAGAGAACUAGCAAAUUUACUUAAAUUAUGAAACCUAGCUAAAUGAUGAAGUAAUUUAACCACUUGUACAUAAGAAAUACCUUUGGUGGGUCAAGAAAUUUUGUCAUUAUACUUUCACAUGUGCAUAUUUUCAUAUAAUUUAGGAAGUUUAGAAAUUCGUUUGAGAUUCACUUAGUAUGAGUGAAUCUCAAAUAGUCCCCGUUUUGGGACUGUUCUUGUAUGUUUCGAUCUCACUUAGGUCGGUGUUAACGACUUGAGCACGUCUUUAUAUUUUUUGAAUUUUCGGUCAGUAUAUAUCUCUUGAUGUUCUUCGGGUGCAUAUUUAGACUACGAUGUGUUAGUUUAUUUCGUGUACUUGAAGACCAUGGGGAGGUGUUGCCAAAAUUUCUAAAAAAUUUAAAGAUGUGUUCAAGUUGUUGGCAUCAGUGAGGCGACACAUCCGGGAUGGGAUAGAAGCCUGACCCGGUAGAGUGGGAGAUGAAGUUACGAAACUCAUAACCUUGCAUAUACAUUAACUUGGAGACUUGAUUAUGUUUGUCUAACUUUCCAUAUAUAUAGUAGACAGUUGUCCAAGAUGUCUUUUGAUCGAAGUUCGAUGGAACGUAGGAUAGCCACUAAUAAGAGUGGGUUUAGAUCUGAGUACCGUAAUGGGGUUGAAAAGUUUCUCAAUUUCGCGUUUGAGUAAGUCAGCGGCGAUAAGAUCAAAUGUCCUUGUAAGAGAUGUGUGAAUGAAGUGUGGAAGGAAAGGAGUGAUGUCAUGUGCAACUUAUUUGCGUAUGGGUUCAACCAGGGCUAUACGACAUGGAUCUAUCAUGGGGAAACCUGGUUGAAUGAACAUGAAUCAAAACUGAAAUACAGAGGUGACGAAACCUUUGACUGUACUAACAUGAUAGUCGAAGCUGCUGGUUCAUACUUCCAGUGGAAUACAGACAGGGAUGACAGUAACAUCUAGCAAGAGCCGGAUGGCGGGGCUAAGGGUUUCUAUGAGUUAUUGCAUGAAGCAACGAUGCCACUGUAUAGCGGGCACGAAAAUCACACCGUCUUAUCUGCCGUAACUAAGUUUUUACACUUCAAGAACGAGCAUAACUGUAGCGAGAGAGGUUUUAAUGAAUUGCUAAACAUUGUGAAGGAGUGCUUACCUGCAGGUAAUAAGUUACCGGAGUCGUAUUAUGAUGUGAAGAAAAUGGUCAAAAGGCUUAAUCUAGGUAUGAGAAGAUUGAUGCACUGCUACAAAACAGUAAAUAUAUAACGCGGAAAAAACGUUGUGGUUUCAAUCAGAAAAACAUCGUGGUUAAGGGUGUCAUCUAUUUGACACCCUUACACAACGUUUUUAAAAUGUUAAGAAGAAAAAAAUGUUGUAGAUUUGUUUUUCAUAAAUUAGUAGAUGCUUGAAAAUGUUGUAGAAGGUAUAAUUCCACAACGUUUUCUGACUAAAAAUGUUGUAGUUUAAUAUAUCAGACAACGUUUAGGCACAUUUACACAACGUUUAUAAUGUGUCAUCUAUUUAGAAGGUGUCAUUUAUUUAUACAAAUAUACAACAUUUUUAAAAUGUUAUAGAUAAAAAAAAGAAAAAAAAGUUGUGAUUCACCUAUAUUACCAAUACACCUGUAAUAUGCUAAUGCCAUGAUAUAUAGUUAAAAGGUCUAAAUUCUCAUUUAAAUUUAAAGCCAAAAUGUAUCAACCAUUCAAAAAAUAUCCCAAUAAUACUAUUCGUUUACAGUUUCAAAUUACUAUAUCCACAAAAUAUAUACCAAACUAUCCAUAUAUACAUCUCAAAUUCACUUUUCAAUAUAAAUUACUACUAUGUUCACCAAGAAAAUGUUCUUCGGGACACCAUCCGUCUCACUUGGAUACGUUACAAUUGGAGCAGAAAUAAAAGCAGGAGCAGGAGCAGGAGCACUUUGAUUUCCUGCAAGGAGGAGGAGCAUGCACAACUCAAAAGAUAAUACAGAGAAUUCUGUUUGGAAUUUGAAAGGCACACAUUGAUCAGCGAUGUCAUCACUGAUCCACGAGGUUGGAAAACAUUACCUAAAUCAUGGUGUAAACUUGUUUCAAGAAACAUUGAGAAGAAUUCAAAUCAGGAAAUGAUAGGCAUCAAUUGUUAUAAAAAUAUGAGAACAAGCAAAGGCAUAUAUGAAUACCAGGCAUGGAAUGUGAAAUGUUAAAAAAACCAAGCACAUCACCUUACUGCAAUGCACAACUAGGACAUUGUCCCCAAAUGGGAUUCGACUGCCAACACCAUCAUUCUAUAAGAGGAUAUGCAUAAGAUAAAUUCCAUGCCCUCAAAUUCACAGAGCAUUGAUGCAAGUAACUGUUCCAAUAUUUACAAUAAAAGAACAGAAAGCUCAUACUUACCUGUCAUUGGUGUAUAAAGAGGAUGGAAUGUCAAAAAGCAAGCAUCCAGAUCUAGUUAAUGUUGAGUGCUGGGAGGAUGAAUUAGCAAAUAAAGCAUCCAGUACUACUACUUCAUCAAAUAAAGGUUCUAGUAAUACCAAUGUUAAUGUUGAGUGCUGGUAGCUAGAAGUUCUGUCCCCACCUAAGCCAGACUCCAGAAAUCUUGUUUGGUUAAGGGAGAAUAAAAUCAGUUGGCUCAAAUAAUCUGAGUUCUCCCACAAGAGAAUCAGAGUGAACUGGGGUAUACCUGGGGAUGCACAGAACAAAGUUUAAAAUUACAUCAAGUAUGCAGCAGAAUUCAUGAUAAUUGUGACAAUAAAAUAAAAUAAGCAACUGAUAGAAUGGUUGCAAGAAACUGCGACUGAUGCAAUUAAUACUAAAGCCAAGCUCCUGGGAUACACCGAGGGCAAGUGAUGUCUUACCAG